This 95-nucleotide small RNA is filed under the name Arabidopsis thaliana (thale cress). Its description in RNAcentral is "ATSL195210". Lineage: Eukaryota; Viridiplantae; Streptophyta; Magnoliopsida; Brassicales; Brassicaceae. The record is from RNAcentral.
AAACUCUAUCUGUGAAGGAUGUAGUUUCUUCUGCAAAGUCUCUUGAAAGAGAAAUGGCUGAGCUUAAAGAAAACACUAAGGUGGUGAAUACAGCU